CUCAACCUAGGAAUGGCAUUCCAAACUGGCGGGCUCGAGUCCGGGAGAGGGAGGUGGAAUUCCCCGUGUAGCGGUGAAAUGCGUAGAUACGGGGAGGAACACCGGUGGCGAAGGCGACCUCCUGGCCCGGUACUGACGCUGAGGUGCGAAAGCGUGGGUAGCGAACGGGAUUAGAUACCCCGGUAGUCCACGCCGUAAACGAUGAGGACUAGGUGUGGGGCGGAUUAUCCCGCUCCGUGCCGAAGCCAACGCGUUAAGUCCUCCGCCUGGGGAGUACGGCCGCAAGGCUGAAACUCAAAGGAAUUGACGGGGGCCCGCACAAGCGGUGGAGCAUGUGGUUUAAUUCGAUGCAACGCGAAGAACCUUACCGGGGCUUGACAUCAUCCGGGAUCUGCUAGAGAUAGCGGAGUGCCUUCGGGAGCCG
This 424-nucleotide ribosomal RNA is filed under the name uncultured bacterium. RNAcentral's name for it is "bacterial SSU rRNA". It matches the Rfam family "Bacterial small subunit ribosomal RNA", at positions 608 to 1029 of the family's 1533-position model. The record is from RNAcentral.